Falco peregrinus (peregrine falcon) is the source of this 16669-nucleotide long non-coding RNA. RefSeq lists it as uncharacterized. The record is from RefSeq and is a predicted model, not a curated record. NCBI's taxonomy places the organism in Eukaryota, Metazoa, Chordata, Aves, Falconiformes, Falconidae. The transcript is spliced from 4 exons.
ACAAAAUUACAUUUUUCUUUUUCAAUUUUAUUAGGAUGUAUGGCUGGCUAAAACAGGCGAGACUUCGCACAGUUUCAAGCCAGCUGUGAAUUGUCCAGUCUGAGCUUUGAAUGUCUAUUCCUGAAUGAAAUGAACUGUAUUGAAACUACUGAAACUUUGAGACAUGAUUUCACUAAAAGAAAGCUGCAAGGAUGUGUUAAACCCAAAUUAAAACUUUCAAAAUAGCAUGCCCAUAACAGUCUCCAUAAUCACUUCCUCAUAUCGGACAGCCUUCAAGCAAGUGCUUGACCAUGGCUUGACCAUAAUCCAGAGUACAGCAGAGGAGAUCCUUGGUGCAGAUGAUACAACUGAGGCACUGGGAACAUUUCAGAUGUUCAGGGUCAGUUUGGAUUGAGCAACCUGGUCUGGUGAAAGGUGUCCCUGCCUGUGGCAGGGGGUUGGUAGUAGGUGAUCUGUAAGAUCCCUUCCAACCCAAACCAUUCUAUGAUUCUACGAUUGAUUUCUGCAUGCACCUAAUGACAGUCUAUUAAAAGCAAAACAGAGACAGUUUUGAGAUGGCAGUUUCAUGGAUGUUACCUGUUUACUAACAUACCUCCUUGUUACUUGUAAGUCUACAUAAACCAUGUCCUGCUCACUCCUGUUUAAAUCAGUCAGGUCUUUGUAGCUGAAACGAACAUCAGCAGCAAGUAAAGUCAGAAAUGCACCUCAAGUACCAGUACAGGCCCCUUCAAGCCUAUUUCUAACUGUGGUGACGCAUUUCCUGCUGCCCUGCCCCCCCUUCUCUGGGCUUCUCUGUGAUCUCAGGAAUUCCCAUUAGAUCUUGGCCUUUGUGUAAUGACUUGGGAGGUUAAGCAUCCCUUAACCUUACCAGCAACUCUUGCAUUGCUAGGGUGAGGAAUGGCACUGACUGUAUCAGGAACUCCUGUUGCCUUACCAAGGCUAUAAUAUAAAUUAUAUAUCAUAUAAAAAUACAUGAACGAGAGCAGCCAUAAUCAGUCAUCCCCUGACAGCCCUAGGACAUUCCCGACCUGAACUGUAGCCCAAGUGGAAUGGUACCAUAGUUACUGGAAUUUUGAAAAAUUACUGACCCAGUUUGUGGCCAGAAUGGAAACUUAAUUGACUAAUUGUCUAAAGCCAAUCAUCUUGCGACCCUAUAAGCAGCAAUGUUAAGUGAGACACUUUGAGCUUUCCUGGACCACAGCAGGCUGUGACCAGCAUCUCUCUUUCAGUGAGAUGUCUCUCAGAACUUGCAAACCCUCAAGUUUACAAAGUUCAGGGGACCAUUGCCGAAAGCUGAUGAUGAGGCCUGGGCUGAAACCGCCUACUCCUUGAGGGUCAACUCUUGCCCGUUGAGAAAUGCCAAGGCAUUUGAAGUGAGUGUUUCGCUGAACUCAAGGGGAAAUUUUAACAGGUAUGCCUAUCUGUGUGUGUGUGUGUACGUGUGUGCGUUGAUGUACCUCACAGCAAGAACAGUAUAAAUGUUACCAUCUUGGACCUGUAAUUCAAUCACUAUUAUGAUUGUACUAAAUCUUGUUAACCUCACUUUGUAAAUGUUAAAUAAGUUCAUGAUUAAGUGCUGCUAAAAUCUUGUGAUCUAUCUUAAAACUGUGACUAAACCUUAGUCAUCCUUUAGAUAUAAACUGUUGUCCAAGUCUGAGACUAAGACUGGACCUAGCUGCGCCUAAGCUUUACCAGGAGUUCAGAAAGCAAGGGGGUCUACUCUGAACCUUGUGACUCAGCAGGAGGGUCUCCAUUAGCCUUUUGCAUCUUCAGUCUCUGUAAAUCAUUCUAGCUCAAUUCUAACUUGAUUUGCUUUUGUAUGUUUCAUCCAUGUAAUAAUAGUGAACCUUGCCAUCAACCUUUGUGAAGUUGUACUCCCACGAAUUUAUAUUAAAACUAUAUUCACUAAUACCUUUGAUAGUGAUUCUUUAAAUGAUCUAAACCACUCAUCUGUGACACGUCACUCCUCAGAGACUGGGCAGCACUCUUCUUCUAGACUCCUGGACCCCAAACAGUAAUGUCAUGGACUUCUUCAGAACUGCUAAACUUUAAAAAUCUUUUUUACCAGGGUAAAGUGUGUUAAUUAAUCACAUUUUACAUAACCUAAAUCUUUCAACAAGUAGGAAGAGUAAGGCUUUUUCUUCAUGUAUAAUUAAUGAAAGUAAUUUUCUUUCCCUGAAUAGUAAAUUUGAUCCUUCACCCUUACCUAGGCUGUGAGAAAAAUUACUUUUAGUAUGUGUGGGGUUUGUUUUGUAUUGUUUUGUUUUGCUUUACUUUGUUCUGUUUUCCAGGAGGCUAAAGUUUCAUUACUAGCUUAAGGCUGAGAAUUUAAAGGGAGCUAGAUGGCGAAGCAUGUUAAAACUCGGUGGGAACGGUUCACUGAGCUCUUUGUGGUCCUUUACAAUUCUGGGUGCAACUUGUCAUGAACACAAAAUUCUGUCCACAGGCUGCAACCAGCUGCUCCGGGCUGUGUAGCUGGUGUUCCCCGGCAUGUCCGUCCGUAUCCACUGGGGGGCAGCAUUGACGGGGUCUGGUGGCCUGUCUGGGCUGAAUCGGCGCUGGAAGCGCAGGCAGGCGGUUGGGCUUUUUGCCUUGCAGAAGUAGCGUCUGGCAGAACGCUAGUGUAAACAGCUUGGGGUCAUGUUUUAAAUCACUGCAGCAAGAUUCACAUCUGUAAAGUGCUAACAAGAGCCUGUAAAAAGGCAUUUAUGAAAACCAGUCGGUAGAAAUUAUGUAAAUUGCAUCUGUAAUCUGAGUGGAGAAAUUUAUGAGUGCAUCUCUACCGUGUGGACUUUUACAGGCUUCCCAUCAUUGUUUGGUUUCAUGGCACUUAAAAAUGAAUGCUCAGCACAAUUAGUUAUGAUACCUUCAACUGUUGUUAUGACUGUGAAAUAGGUUUGUUAUGUGCUGUCUUUCACACCGCACUCCCUGCCCCCUGAGCUGCUUGUUAAAUACGGAGUUUGGCUGAUGUCGGUUGAAAGUGGUACCUAGUAUUUUUCACUUUGGGGAAUAUUGUCUGAAGAAUUUGUGAAUUUUCUUCUGACAUACUCUGUAUGAUACAAUAGAACAAGGAUGCCCGUCAUACAAACAAAACCUUCCUGUCAGUUUGGUCAGUAGGUGGCAUUUAAGUUCCUUUUUAUAGAGCUCAAAGCUUCAGAAAACUACCUUCAAAUGUAUUCCCACUGCACCCCGUGAGUAUGUUAAUAUAAUUUUUAUAACUGUACUACUGUUGAUCAGAGUUUAUUAAGUAAAUCUAACAGGGUCACAGGGAGUAUUGAUUUACAAUUUUGAAGUGCAGCUUGUAUUUCUAAAGACUAAUAAUCUCUUUGGAGGCAGGUACUAUAAUCUACACAAAUCAGUUUUGUAAUUUUAAUUUUAACUUUCUUAGAACUACAAAAUGUAAAAUGUGAAUGUGUAAAGUAAUUCUUAAUAUAUGUUUGGUUAAUAACCAAUUUAUAUACAGUCUGAUAAAACUGGUAUUUAAAAUGGAAUUGUAUCUUUGCUUGAAUAGCUUGUAAUAGUAUGCUAACAUUUGCUUUUAAGCUCCAAAAAUUAGUAAGUUUAUGAAUGAGAUGUCACAGGAUCCUUCCAGGUAGUUUAGUUUGGAAAUUGCAUUCUAAAGCAUUGAUUAAAAAUUAAUUCUACUCUGUGCCCAAAAGAAAGCAUUAACAUAGAUGCAUAGUCUCUAUUGGAUUAUAGGUUGAUUAUUGGUAUGCUAGAUGCUGUUUUAAUAAGCAUAUAAAUAAAUAAAUGACCCCCUAUAAAGUCUUCUACAGCCUUCUGCUUGGUUUAUGUCAACCUUCCUAUACCCCUGCUUAUUUUGAAUUUGAAAUACAAGUGAAUCUCUAUUCAUCUCUGCAGGUACCACCUGCAUAGAUGAGGAAACUAGGUGGUAUACUUGCUGAACAGCUGGCAUGAAGCAUAGUUAUGUUCCUUUCUGUACUCACCCCUUUCUUUUUUGUCAGAGAGGUCUUGGAGUGCUAUACUAAAAUUGUUUGUUCAGAACUACAAGUUAAACCACAUUAGUGUGUAUCAAAGGAAAACUGACAUUAAAAUGUAUAUAUAUAAAAUGUCUCUCAAAAGGAAGAGGGUCAAUAAUGGAAACAAGUUUAUAACUGAGUUUUGUUACUAUCACUCUUUUCUGUUUUUAACAAUAAUAUCUUUCUCAAACAUGAUUGAAGUUUAGGGUUGACCACUUCUCAGUUACAACACCUCUCUUUCCCUCUACUUCUAGCUGUAUCUCCAUUCACGGAGCUAUCUGAGUGCAAGGAUCACUCCUUGGUCCUAGCUAAACAAAACCACAUUUGGUUCUAUGAUGUGUAUCAUCUCUGUAUUGAGAUUAAUUUCCUAUUUGACUGCCUGAGCUGUGUGCAAGCUCCUGUGCAGGUGCUUAAAAGUCUUCUCUGGUCAGCCUACAGCUUUGUUUCAUCAGGUUUUGUGUUGCUGAUUUGCUUUGAUCUUAACCGUGUGUUUCUGGUGUCCCACAGCAGAUUAGAACAUCCCUGGUUUUUGAUAGUAGGUACUGUUCUGGGCCAUGGCUGGGGAUUUAUGUUGUCUCAAAGUGAAAUGAAUGUGACAAAAAUGUAGUGUUUUCCAUGUCAAGCUUUUAAAGUUGUGUUGCUCUGCUGAUAACAGAAUAUUGCAUCUGCUUCUAUGUUUGUGGAUGGAGAGACGUAUUCAAGCUGCCUUCUCUACUGCUGAUCAUUAAGCCACUCCUGCUGCCAGCUCUGCACCCCUGCCCCCUUAGGACCCUGUAAAUUUGUAGCUAACGAGUUUUUUUAUAAUUGCUUUGUUGGUAUUAUCUACUCAAAGUUGUCAGCACUGUCAACAGUGCUGCUCAAAUGAAAUAUAGUCAUACAUAAUUAUAUUUUCUUUCCUAACUGUCAUACCAUGCAUUUUCUUUAGCAUUUUAUCGAAAUCAGGUAUAUGGUCUUAUGUGCGUACAAAUGACUAGGAACUGAAUUUUUUUGCUCAAUCAUAACUGAUUUGUGUUUUGAGACUUCGUGCAACUGUCUUGUUCCAAAAUCGAAACUGUAAAGCAGAAAAGAACAGCAGUGAUUUUUUUUAAUAUUGCAGCUAUCCACUGUUCAAAAGAAGUCCAGUCCUUUGGGCACAGUAUACCUUGAGACAGUAUAGUCCAUCCCUAAUUUAGACUUCAUCUGCUUUUUCAAGAUGAAGGUAACAAAAAGCUAAAACGGAACUGCUUGCCGACACCCAGCCAAAGCGCUGAGAGAACUGGAGUUUGUAAUUCCGUACUCGGGGGCGGAUUUGGCGAUCCCAAACCCGCGAGUGGAAGUGCAGGCGCCAGAAUCCCUUGGGAAGCUGCACUACCCCCAGCCCACGCCGCGAAUCGCUCCCCGCUUUCCCGCGCUGCCAGCCGCGCGCUGGCCCCGGCGGGCGGGAGGUGUCGCCAGCGCCGCCCCGCCCCCCCCCCGCCCCCCGGCGGGCGCCGCCUCGCGCGCUGCGGGGCAGGGGUCGCUGCUCGCAAAGACGUGCGGGGCGGUGGCAAAAGGGCUGACGGAGCCGAACCGCAGGAUGUCACAUGCCGCUGCGGGGAGCAGAUCCCGAGCUCGCCAGGACACAGUGGUCACGCGUGCGUGUGCGUGUGUCUGUGUGUGUGUCCUUUCUCAUUUUGAAAAGAGAGCAAGUGAAGUGCGUGCGGGGCGGAACAUUGGAAAUUCUUAAAUAAACGAGCAAAAGAUGACCUGGAUUUUGUUGAAACAAGAAUCCAAGCGUUGUAACUUUUCUGUAUUUGUCUAGUGCAUGUGUGAAUGCAAAACAUACACCUGCAGAACCUAUGUAAGUGGUAGGUGUAAAAAUAGCAUACUGCAAGGUUUGCUUUUCAGCAGUGCUUGUUUAACUGUGAAAAGGAAAAUGUUGUGUAAAGUAUGCUUUUAUGUAAUUCAAAAGAUAUUCUGUUUUUAAACAUCAAUCCAGAGCAACUGUGACCCACCCUCCCCCAGACAAUUCUGUUUUUAUUGCCAUUACAUGCUUUAAAAAUUCAAUGAAAGUAGCUAUAUAUAUCCAUUUCAGUGUGACACAUCACAGACAUCAGUUCAACUGCUAUUUUUGAAAAAAGUGAAUUUAGCAUCUCCUAUAUUUUAUUCACCUAAACCUGCAACUUUUCUUCCCACUGAAUUCUUUAUCAAUGUACAAACUGUGCUUAAUUUGAGUCCUUUAAAACUGGAAUUAUGACAAGUUCUAUCAAUUUUAAUGCAGAAUUAAAAAAAAUAUAUUAGACACUGAAAAAAAUUGAGAUUUUGGUGGAAUUUCUGGCUUACUCCUCUAUAGUUCCUGCAACACAGCACAAUUCUGAACUCUCCAAGCGUGUACAUUUCUCUGUCAGUCUGUGAGGUUCUUUACUAGCUUUUAUGAGACACAGAAUGGAAGGAAGAUAGCAUCAAGUGAUAUUUCCACGUUUUUUCCCUUCUUUUAUGUGUUUUGUUGUUCAGAAGUGUAUGUUGUCUGUAAUUGGCCAAGCACAAGGAGGGGGAAAAAAGUAAUGAUUUAGAUGAAGAUUGACAGCUAAAGAAGAUGUGCAUAUACAGUUAGUUACAUUCCCUAAAUAAUGAUGUGAUAUUAUUAGCAGUAUAGGUGAAGCUGUUGUGCAACUUAAAAUAAUGUGCAGCUUCUUGUGAAGACUGAGCGUUAACCAGAAAGAAAACUUAAGCUCCAUCUAAGAACAAGUCGCUGUUCUAUUUCUUUUCAGAAAAAAUAUUACUUCACCCGUUAUUAUCUUAGUUAAAGAAUUAUUUUUUCUUAAAUAAAGAUAAAGGCUUUAUAUUUUGAUUACUGAAAGAUAAUUGAAAAUAGCAUCCUAAUUCUGUUCUUAUUAGAUUGGUUUAGUGCUGAAAGCUUUGAAAAAAGUCCAAACCAAAAGACCGUUAGGAGGCAGUGGAGGGAAAUUGCAGGAAUGAUGGGUUCAAGUUGUGACAGAUUCAUGCUGGAUCAAGCAUUGCUCAUGACCCAUUCAGAAAUGAUGAGUAUCUUACAUCUGAAUAGUAUCAGUAGCUGAUAAAUAGAAAUGAAGGUAGGUAGUUGAAUGAAUCUGUGGCCAGCUAAGAUGAAGAUGUUAAAACAUCACCAAAACUUUGGUUACAAUUUUCAAGUGCUUCUGUUAGAGAAAGAUUUGUCAUUCCUUAUCUGAGCUGCAGACUUCUGUUCAACCAUUAUUUGAACUGCAAAUGAAUUGAGUAGUUAGGAUGUAACUUAGUAGACUGCAGAAAUACUCAUGAACACUAGAUGAUUCCUUACAGUUGUGUUUAUAACCUAAAACCAGUUUGUUUAAAGAGUAACAGCGAAGUUAUGGUUAAAGAAAGAUUGAAGGGGGAAAAAAAAUGUUUCUCUCCUUAACCGAAGAGGCAGAAUAGAAGCAACACACAAACAAAGAAGGUUUGUGUGUUACGUGUGUAUCUUCUGCCUGAAGCUACUUUCUGUGUUUGCUUAAAGGUACUUUGUUUAUGUCCAGGGUUAUUUUUUUCUACUUUAUGCACAACGGUGGCUUGUGGAAGUGCUUAGAGAAGGAUGUUCUCUGUGCAGUCCCUGGAGUUUACUAGCCCUUGGUCCAAUAUCAAUUAGAUUUAAUGAGCUUUCCAGAAUAUUGCAACAGCUGCUUGUUUCAUAGAGUUCAUAGGGAAGGGUGAGGAUAUGUAUUUGAUGCAAUUGGGAGGUAAAGACUUUUUGUUGUUGUUGAGUUGACCUCUGCGUGAACUUAACUGCUCUCUUCAUUUGAAUACUUAAGGCUUCCCUUAAAGAUGCCUGCCUUUACUAGGCUUACCGAAUGUAUGUGAAGGUAUUGAUAAUGUAUUUCUAUUGGUGCUCUUGGCUCUAGUUAUGCUCUAACUGAUGGUCUGGUUACUGAGGAAGUCAUUUCAUUACAGACCUUGAUCAAGUAUUUGGUUUGCUGGCUGGCAAAUCUCAGGAGUCAAGCUUUUAUUUGUAUCACUUGUUUUCUGCAAGGGAGGAAGGAUGUGAUACUUUCCUACGGACGAAUGUAGCUGUUUACCACUGAACUACAGCUCAGUGCAGUGGGAGCAUUCUCAGUAUUAGCCUAGCUGGCAUCAUGAGGAAUGCUUUUAGUGAAGAAUCUGGCAGUGCUCAUAUAUAAGAUUCACUGAGCUUGCAGUAGUACUGGAAAGUCCAAGAAAUUGUGUAUCUUUUCUUAUAUUUAUAUAGGUGGAAAUCAUCUGGCCAGAAGAAUUUGGUUAGUAAGGGCACAAAGUGAUAUGUGACAGUGUCAAAUUCAGAGGCCAAACUGAAAGAAGAUAUAUCCUGCAAUGUCUUCACUGUGUUAGAUUCUUUUGGAAUCAGUGAUGCUGUUGAUUAAAUUGGUGUUCCUUUGCAACAUUGAAGUAUUUAUUUACUUUUUUUUACUUCAGAUGAACUUCCAGUAUUUUUUAUUACAGAUAAGUCUCUUGUUUUAAAGCAGGUUGUGUAGGGACCACAGUAAUUUUUAUACAUUUAUGUGAGCCAGUGAGCCCAAACAUAAUUUUUUAACUUGCUUAGGCAGUUUACUUUUCAUUGAGGAGUUGUCUUUCUCUUGAAAAUAGAAUUAAAAUGUUGUUAUCCUAGCAACAGGUUCCAGUACUUAUUUCGCUCAAGUUAUAUUUUCUAUGUUGCUACAGUCCUAGAGCUUAUUGCUGUUUUAUCUGCUGGGUUUUAUCCACAAAUGUUUCUCAGAGGAGAAAGGCAGCUUUCCACUUAGUGCAUAUCAAGACUUUAAAUAUUUACUUCUGUCAUGAAACUAUAUAGUUAAAAGUUGACAAACAUAUUUAACAAAAGUAAACUUUCCUAUUAUAGCCUAAGUGCUUUAAUUAAAAAAUUAUACAUAUGUGUUAAAACACAAAUAUAUACUGUGAUUUACCUUUGUGGUCAAGUAAAGUUUAAGCACAGAGUUUAGAUGAAAUAAUAAAUGUGUUACUUAAAUGGAAGAUAAUACAGAGAAUGGGAGGGAAACAUUCUGUACACAAAUACUUGAAGUCUGAAUGUCAUGUUUCCAACCCAUUCAGGAAAUUAAAACAGUUCAUUAAUUUUCAGAAAUCAAUGAAAUUUUAAAUUCUGCCCUUAAUAUGAGGCAAAGGGUAACCAAAUCAACAAGUGUGAUGCAAUCGGAUAUUAUUAUGCGUAAGGAAUACAAAGAUAAGCAGGAGAAGGUAAAUAUCUCAAACUGUAAAGUACUAGCUGCUAAAAAGCAUUUCUUAGCCUAGAAGACACCCAGACUAAGAAGAAUCCAUGCAUUGCUCCCACAAUUGUCUGAAGAGAAGCUCUGCAGUGAAGCCCCAAUGUGACAGCGUAGAGCUGUAAGACAGUGAAUGUCUUAUACAAUGAGUCUGUACCACAUGUACAGAACAUUACAUGCUUCAGCUUGCUCAGAACUGCUUUACUGAGUAAAGUUGUUACCUAAAUAAAUAAAAUAAAUAAAUAAAUCAUGGAGUAAAAGGCAAUAGGCCUGUGCUACAGACUCCAUCAUUGGAGGAUGGACCUAAUACUAGUUACGGAGAGGUGCCUUGCAAACAUGCCUCCUGGAUGUAAUUGGUUUAGAAAGAGCCGUACAUUUAAUCAGGUAUUAAAUUUUCUAGCCAGGUAGGUUUUUUCCCAUGAAUAUUGUAUUUGAUUGUAUUUAUUUUUCUGUAAUCUGAAAUCAGCGCUGCCUAUUAAAAGACUAGUUUUGUUCUGAUAUUUAAGAAAGCGUAUUACUUAUGUAACAUCCAGCAAAUAAAGGCACACAUUGCAGACUAUCUCUUCCAGGAUUAUUUUGUUCCAGAGACAAUUUUCUCCUUUUUCUAGCUCUCAAACCUUCUAAAACACUAUCUGUUAUCAGACUUUUACAGACCAAAAAGUAAUGUUUCCAAAUUCUAUGUGCUGAACACUUCCAUACUGUGCAGAGAUUUUUCUCAAUUACUCAUGCAUGACAUGAAUAAAAAAACCUCAUAGUUUUAAUUACAGUGGUGUAAUGACUUGAAUUAACUUUAGGGUUCAUCUGUUUGGUUUUGUCUUUAUUUUGUUUGCAUCCAACCACGUCUGAUCUGAGAUUUAAAAUCAAAUCUAUGGUAUUGGGCUUUCCAUGCCUGAUCAGAUUUUUGUUGUUGUAGCAUGCAGAAUUUGAAUAAAUUAGUGGAGAUAAGUGCCAGGAUGCUGGGAAAAGAUGCCAUAUAAAUGCUGAAAUGAUAAUUAAAUGCCUUUUCCCCCAACAUUUUUCAAUUUAAGAGAGUCUAAAAUGCCUUCAUAUUUGAUUCCUUUUUCCCUAUCUGUAGAUUUUGCAGCAAAAUUAUCUCCAGACCAUUCAGCCUAUAUGGAAAAUGCCAUCUCUUUCUCUCUCUCCUGGUAAAUCUUUCUAAUAGCACCACAGAUGUUUUAGUCACCUGCAAUUUUGGGCUAUUUUGUCAUUUCAGAAAAGCAGCACAUGAAAUGCAACUUUCUUUGAUGUGCUGAUAGAACGCUGCUCCCCCUUCAAAUGGGUAUAGCAGUGUUCUUAAUUACCAUUUUUCCUUCCUUCUUUCUAACUUCCAGCAGAAGAAUAAAAUAGUGAUCCAACCUCAUUGACAAGGAUUUUUAUGCUCUGUAAGGCUUAAUUUGGAGGAAUAAAUUAACUCUUCAACCAUAUUGGUAAGGGGAUGUCUACAUUAAACUUACACUAAAUGUUUGUGCAAAUGCACAGUCAGAAGGACGUUCUGUUUUAGGGCCAUCCUGUCACCAACAGGGCCAGACUUUGUCUCCUGCUUUGUAUGAGCAUGUGGACACACUGUGCCUGGAGAAUUCAUUCAGUUGGCUGAGAAUGAACUGAGACAAAAAAUGAAAAUUUUUUUUUCCUGCAGAUCAGUACGGUGAUCUGACUUGCUGCACGGCUACACAGCCACCAUUACUGAUGCUAAAUAGGGGUGGGCAGAACAGAAUAUCCAGCUAGGCUAAACUGGAGAGAGGGAUAUAAACUUGUUAGAGAUUCUGUCCCAGCUGGCCAGGAAGCUGCAGCUAGUACAUAUGUAUUAGGUAAUUUUAGUCUUAUUGGAUACUACUAUCUGGGUAGCCAAAGUGACCUACAUAGUAAGACAUGCUGGCCUUCUGAGUAUUUAUUGAGGGGAAUCAUUGUACAAGACUUUCAGAAAUUUGGCUUGCUUUAUCUUUGUUGUACCAGUUGACCUUAAGGGCACUGAUGAUAUUUUUGUGCUAACGUGCAAUAGGUCGGGAUUGAAAGCUGGUUUCUGUAAGUGCCUGAAGUACUGCACAUGACAUUUCUAAGUGGGCUACCAGACUAAACAUCAGGAAGGGAGCGGGAUUUUAGACCAAAUUGCUCAGAGCAAGGCUUCAGAUGGCAAUCUAGCUCACUCUGGGAAAAAGUAAGAGUGAGUAUUCAGACCAAAUUGUCUCCCUCAGAAUCCUUUUCCAGCAAGAGCAACUGGAAACCACUUGUGGAAGAUUAAGGAGAGAGCAAGCAUGUUUGAUGCUUCUUCUGAGUAGUCUUCAGCCUCUGACCAUUUCCAGGUUUAUGGGAAGCCUAGUUAGUUACCCCAAAUAGUUAUUCAAUGUCCCUUUAGAACCCAUAAACCCUUUUUGCACUUAGAGUGCUCUCUAUGCUUUUCUGCACCAUAGAUCCCUUCCCUUUCCAUCUGACCCUCAGUUGUUUUGCAUGAGGUUCCCUGGAAGUCAUACUGAAGCAGACUGAUUUUUGUCGCAUAAUACCUUUGAUUGUUUAUACACUUGCAUUAUUUUGUCCCUAAUUUAUCGCUUUUCCAGAAAGAAGAGUGUUAGCCUGACACAGCACUAUCAAAGCUAGCUGUCUGCAACAAGGCUUUUACCAUCCCAUGCCAUGUUAACUUCAAUACGUAGUUCCCAUGCCUUGCCCUGGCAUGGCCACCAAUCUCCCACAAGGUUUCAAAGGUUCAUUUACUGUCUGUACUGUUUCCUCAUCCUCUUCAGGCCAGAAUACCCUGCCUCUCUGCCAUCCAGGGUGCUCUCUGUCCUCCCUCUACUUCUUGCAAGUCUCCCUUCAGCUGGUGUUCCUCUUCCAUGCCCCUCAGAGCUAUUUAACCACUCAGCAGGAACCAGCCGCAGCUGCACCUUAUCCACAUCAGCCAACCUGCCGCCCCUGAAGCCAGCCCACAGCUGAAUAUUACCAAUGUUAAUUAGCCUGCCUUCAUUCCUCUAUAAUUCCUUUACACUAGCCCAGCUAGGCAGAUCUCAUAUAUAGCCAAUGUCUACAUAUUGUUACUGCCUCCUGAACCUUUUCUUGUUUCAAUAUAUUCUUUUUCAAUAUAUCCCAAGUUUAGAAGAAACAUUAAUUUUUACUGUGUUAUUACAGUGUUGUCUGUUCUGUUGUCUGUUCCUUUCCUAACAUUCCUGAUCCGCGGCUUGCUUUUUGACUUCUACUGAACACUGAGCUGGUGAUUUCCUGGAACUAGAUGUCCUAUCCCCAAGAUUUUACUCCUUAAUGGUAAAGAAAGAAUUAAUGGAGUGUGAGGUGUGUGGAGCUACUGCAAAACUAUUCAGAAAUGUUGUUUAAUAAGCAGCAUAAUUCACUGCAGACUUCCUGUUUCCAUGUCUACUUCCUAUACCACAAUUCCUGUUGUACAUGCAACGUGGCGAAGAUGGAGACUUUAAACAUGGCCGCUGAGGAAUAGAGUCUGUGCAGGGACAGCCCCUCAAGGACAUUGCACAGGAAAAGGAACUUCAAAAGGAAGUGCCUCCACAAGACAGAUGAGCUGACUGGAAGCUCACCAGAAGAGAUGAGCUCAGCAAAUCUAAGGGACACGUAAUUCCAGCAGAGGCAGGUCACAACCACUGACUCAUUGACUGACCACGAGCUCAAGAAAUUCCCCAGACCCAAAAAGAAGCGGAGACUGAGUAUGCAGACUUAUUAAUAUAAGAAGUGAGAGGAUUGCUUAACAAAUAGGAAACAGAGUACUAAGUAAUUAAACAGUUAUAUAACUUGUAACCAAUGAAGGCUGAUGUCCUUGCUUGCUGAACAGUGCAAAUAGUGUAACGUUUUGACAAUCAGGAAGCUAGGCAUUUGUGGGUUACACAUAGGUCCAUACUUUGCACAAACUAGAAUAAAGAAAUAGAAAUACCUCGACUCCAUGUAUGAACUGGAGCUGCACACUGGGUAACAAACACGCCUACAGGACCGCAUUUAGCUUUUUAUACACUAUGGCUGGCUCAGUCACUUUCUGCACAGGCAUACUUCACGGAAUUUUUGAUUCAGCACUUAAUAUGUUGUUAAAACCAGUUGAAUCAGAACCCAGAAUUUUACUCUCAUUUGGGAAUGUCAUGCAUCCAGGGCUGUAGAACAGUAUCCUAACAGGAAUUUUCACUUCAUAGAGACUUCUAAAAUGCACUCUUUCAGCAGUGGACGAAUAACAGCUUCAUAACUUUUGCACGUAUUUUGUUUUGCUAAACUUAUACCAUAAUGCUUUUAUUGUUCAGUACAUUGGUUGCUUUUGGUUUGCCCAUGUGACUGGUUCAGUAACUUUUUUUCUUUUUAUACUUGCUGGUUAAUGCAUUUUAAAAAAAUAUAGAUAAUCAACUGACUGUGUAGUGGAAGUACACAACAAAGAAGAAAAGACUCCUCAAACUUAAAACUGUAAUCACUAAAUUUACUGUAACCCCUCAAAACAGUUCAGAAUUUCCAUUUUCUACUCAACAGUGAUUUCCUGAAUGACUUUUUACCUUUAAUUUAUACUAGAUACCGAUAAGAUAUUAGACACCAAUCUGCAGCUGACUGUCGCUUUGGGUGGAUUUCUUUGCCUCAGAGUUUUCCACCAAAAUUCUGCCUCUGCAUAAGCUGUCACAAGGAAACAGCUGAAAUACUGUGGUCUAAAAGCUUAAAGCUACUAGACAAAACUGAAUCCUGUCAAAUCACUUUUAUGAUUAAGAAUGAUACAAGACAUUUGGAAAUUCUAUGCAAGUAAGAAGCACUAAACAGGGAAAAUCAUCAAGGAUAGAAAACCAAUUAUUCAUGCAUGAAUGCAACUAGGUUUUCAAAGUCUUUAAUAGUGAAAAUGUAUUUAUUGACUUCUUAAAAGAACACAUAUAUGCUUCCACUCACACGUUGCCUUUUGUUUACAUUCUAACAUUUCAGCUAUAAAGACUGUGCUAGAAAUACCUGAUGUAUUUGAAAACAGAAGAAAAAUAAACGAAUAGCUCAGUCUUUUGUUCCUAUUCUGUAUAACAAGGAGACAAAAUGGCUCACCAGCCUCAAAACUACCAUGUAGAAAAGGCUAAAAACAAUUUACAGGUGAAGUGUGCUGUUCUGGGGCAGCACAGAAUAUAGGUCACAGUCUUUUAAAGUUAAAGCUUUAUUUUUGGGAAGACUGUCCUAGAAAUUGAAGGUCUUCACCAUUUAAACUUGGAAAGCUUAUCUAAUGAUGAGUUCAAGAGCACUAGUGAAGUUUGAGUUUGCUUUGUGAUACACCCAAUUCUCAGGAAAUUUCGGAAUUCUAUCUGGUUGGCUUUAUCCAACAUUUUAGUUGUUUGAAAAGAUGCCUUCCUUCAAUGUCCCUCUGUUUAGGAGAGCAAUCUGAUUUGCAUCAUGGAAGAGACAGUGCUCUGCAUUGCACCCACUUCAUUUUGUUUCAUGAAUUUGAAAUCAUGUAGUGUAAAUGCCUGCAUAGGGAGAGAUUUAUUUCACAAUGGAGAUAAGCUCUGAAGUACUCUUUCCUUUCAUUGUAUAGACCAUGGGAUUCACAUGUGUCAUAGGGAGCAAGAUAUUUACACCCCAUCUCUCAAAAUGGACAGUAAUGGUGUUCUUCAUUUGCUGGGGUACCCAUGAUUUGUCUUGGGUAAGUGUUGAGUGUUCAGCUGCUGCUGAGGUCGAUAACAGAUAUACUUUGAUCAGAAAGCCAUGAAGUGACUUGAUGUUCAGUACUCUGACAUAGAAGCUCCUAAGCAUCUUAAGUCUGGGACUCCAUGUUAAACACUUUGAACUGCAUUUUUUCUUAGCCUUGGCUUAUCAUCAUAAAAUUGAGACAGUAAAACUGUUUUUAACUCUAACAGGUAUUGAAACUUCAUUUGGAUUACAUUUGGAUGUAGGAGAAUUAACUCUGUGUUUUUUCUUGAGGGUCUGUCUUUCUUUUGAACUCCUAUCAAAGCAUGGGCUGGACCACAGCUGGUGAAAUAACUCAUAAUGGAUAGACACAUAAAUGGAAAUUGUUAAGAGAAAUAUCAGGCUGGCAAUGACAAUCCAAGAGAGUUGAGGCUGCCUCAUCUCUGUGCCCACUGGUCCAACCAGUAGCAAGACUGAAAAUCUAUUGCCAGUAUGCACAUGCAUACACAAAGCAGAUAUAUACAGUUGUAUUGGGUUUAUUUGGCAAGGUUUUGGUAGCAGGGAGCGUACUGGGGUGGUUUCUGUGAGCAGAUGCCAGAAACCUCUCCCAUGUCUGAUAGAGCCAGUUCCAGCAAGCUCCAAGAUGGAUCUGCUGCUGGCCAAAGCUGAGCUAAUCAGAAAUUGUUGUAACACCUCGGUGAUAACAUAUUUAAGAAGGUGAAAAAACUGCUGUGCAACAACAGCUGGGAGAGGUGUGAGAGUAUGUGAGAGAAACAACCCUGCAGACACCAAGGUCAGUGAACAAGGUUGGGGAGGAGGUGCUCCAGGCACCAGAGCAGAGAUUCUCUCUGGUGGAGACCAUGGUUAUGUAAGGUGUCCCCCUGCAUCUCAUGGAGGUCCAUGGUGGAGCAAAUAGCCAUCCUGCAGCCUGUGGAGAACCCCAUGCUUGAGCAGGCAGAUCUGCUUCAAAGGAGACUGACCCUGUGCAGAGCCUGUGCUGUAACAGGUCUUCUGGCAGGAUGUGUGACCCUGCAGGUGACCCGUGUUGAAGCAGUCCAUUCCUGGAGGACUGCACCCUGUGGAAAGGACCCAUGCUGGAGCAAUUCAUGGAUUGUCUCCCAUGGGUGGGACCCCACACUGGAUCCCAGCAAAGGCAUGAGGAAAGAGGAUUGGCAAAGACAAUGUGUAAUGGAACUGACCACAGCCCCCACCCCCUGUACAUCUACACCACUUGGAGGAAGGAGGUGGAGAAGUCCAGGAUGAAGUGGAGCAUGGGAAGAAGGGAGGGAUGGGGAGAAGAUGUUUUAAGAGUUGCUCUCAUUUUUCACAUUAAUAUUUACUUUUGUUAUUCUCACACUCUGACCCCUGCUCCCACACCAGUGACCAUGUUAUCAUAUUUUGUAGUCAAUACUAUAUGGACAUACAGUUUUGUUUAACAAUCUGCACAUGUUUGUGAAGAAACAGAACGCACACAUUAUUUCGACUCAGGAUGUCCCAUGCAAAGAACUAUCAAGGGUGAUUAGUUGAAGUAAUUGCUGCUUAUGACAAGAUGACUUUGAAGAACAAUUACAUCCUGGAAAAUUGGCAACACAAGCAAGAUACAUCUGAUACUUGUUGACAGAUAGCCAAAGAUGUGUCCUUAACUGAACUACUUUCAUUAUAAUACCAAAAAUCAUACCCCCUACAUCAGGUACCCUGGCCCACAAAGAAACCCUUCCUCAAUGAGCAGGUGUAGUAAGAUUUCAUUAUGUAAAGAAUCAUCAUGUAGAUUUCCAUCCAAUCAGUGCUAGAGGGUUGGAAGUUAAAAAAAUAAUAUUCAUGAAAUCAUGUAUAAAUGUGAUUGUGAAAAUGUCCAAGCUGUGCUAGUCCACCCAGCCUUGUGCAACUUUUCAUUAAAGGCAGUAUAUAUCUUAA